AUGAACGCUGGCGGCGUGCCUAAUACAUGCAAGUCGAGCGAACAGAUAAGGAGCUUGCUCCUUUGACGUUAGCGGCGGACGGGUGAGUAACACGUGGGUAACCUACCUAUAAGACUGGGAUAACUUCGGGAAACCGGAGCUAAUACCGGAUAAUAUUUCGAACCGCAUGGUUCGAUAGUGAAAGAUGGUUUUGCUAUCACUUAUAGAUGGACCCGCGCCGUAUUAGCUAGUUGGUAAGGUAACGGCUUACCAAGGCGACGAUACGUAGCCGACCUGAGAGGGUGAUCGGCCACACUGGAACUGAGACACGGUCCAGACUCCUACGGGAGGCAGCAGUAGGGAAUCUUCCGCAAUGGGCGAAAGCCUAACGGAGCAACGCCGCGUGAGUGAUGAAGGUCUUCGGAUCGUAAAACUCUGUUAUUAGGGAAGAACAUACGUGUAAGUAACUGUGCACGUCUUGACGGUACCUAAUCAGAAAGCCACGGCUAACUACGUG
This 496-nucleotide ribosomal RNA is filed under the name uncultured bacterium. RNAcentral describes it as "partial 16S ribosomal RNA". It matches the Rfam family "Bacterial small subunit ribosomal RNA", at positions 29 to 507 of the family's 1533-position model. The record is from RNAcentral.